GCAAGUCGAACGAAGUAGCAAUACUUAGUGGCAGACGGGUGAGUAACAUGUAGGUAUCUGCCCUUUGGCCUGGAAUAACACGAGGAAACUUGUGCUAAUACCGGAUAAGUCUUUACGGAGAAAGCUUUAUGCACCAUUGGAUGAGCCUGCACUUGAUUAGUUUGUUGGUGGGGUAAUGGCCUACCAAGACUGUGAUCAAUAGCUGAUUUGAGAGGAUGAUCAGCCACAUUGGGACUGAGACACGGCCCAAACUCCUACGGGAGGCAGCAGUGGGGAAUCUUGCACAAUGGAGGAAACUCUGAUGCAGCGAUGCCGCGUGAGUGAAGAAGGCCCUUGGGUUGUAAAGCUCUUUCGUCGGGGAAGAAAAUGACUGUACCCGAAUAAGAAGGUCCGGCUAACUUCGUGCCAGCAGCCGCGGUAAUACGAAGGGACCUAGCGUAGUUCGGAAUUACUGGGCUUAAAGAGUUCGUAGGUGGUUGAAAAAGUUAGUGGUGAAAUCCCAGAGCUUAACUCUGGAACUGCCAUUAAAACUUUUCAGCUAGAGUAUGAUAGAGGAAAGCAGAAUUUCUAGUGUAGAGGUGAAAUUCGUAGAUAUUAGAAAGAAUACCAAUUGCGAAGGCAGCUUUCUGGAUCAUUACUGACACUGAGGAACGAAAGCAUGGGUAGCGAAGAGGAUUAGAUACCCUCGUAGUCCAUGCCGUAAACGAUGUGUGUUAGACGUUGGAAAUUUAUUUUCAGUGUCGCAGCGAAAGCGAUAAACACACCGCCUGGGGAGUACGACCGCAAGGUUAAAACUCAAAUGAAUUGACGGGGACCCGCACAAGUAGUGGAGCAUGUGGUUUAAUUCGAAGAUACGCGCAGAACCUUACCAACACUUGACAUGUUCGUCGCGACUCUAAGAGAUUAGAGUUUUCGGUUCGGCCGGACGAAACACAGGUGCUGCAUGGCUGUCGUCAGCUCGUGUCGUGAGAUGUUGGGUUAAGUCCCGCAACGAGCGCAACCCUCACUUUUAGUUGCCAUCAUUAAGUUGGGCACUCUGAAAGAACUGCCAGUGAUAAGCUGGAGGAAGGUGGGGAUGACGUCAAGUCCUCAUGGCCCUUACGUGUUGGGCUACACACGUGCUACAAUGGUAUCUACAACAGGAAGCAAGACUGCGAAGUUAAGCAAAUCCCUAAAAGAUACCUCAGUUCGGAUUGCACUCUGCAACUCGAGUGCAUGAAGCUGGAAUUACUAGUAAUCGUGGAUCAGCGUGCCACGGUGAAUGCGUUCCCGGGUCUUGUACACACCGCCCGUCACACCAUGGGAGUUGGUUCUACCUUAAG
RNAcentral lists this ribosomal RNA (1322 nucleotides) under uncultured Pelagibacterales bacterium. RNAcentral describes it as "uncultured SAR11 cluster alpha proteobacterium 16S ribosomal RNA". It matches the Rfam family "Bacterial small subunit ribosomal RNA", at positions 57 to 1426 of the family's 1533-position model. Lineage: Bacteria; Pseudomonadati; Pseudomonadota; Alphaproteobacteria; Candidatus Pelagibacterales. The record is from RNAcentral.